AUACGUAGGUGACAAGCGUUAUCCGGAUUUACUGGGCGUAAAGGGCGUGUAGGCGGUCUUGCAAGUCAGAAGUGAAAUUCCUGAGCUCAACUCGGGCGCUGCUUCUGAAACUGCAGGACUUGAGUGCUGGAGGGGAUAGCGGAAUUCCUAGUGGAGCGGUAAAAUGCGCAGAUAUUAGGAAGAACACCGGUGGCGAAGGCGUGUAUCGGGACAGUACCUGCCGUGGAGGCGCGAAAGCGUGGGGAGCAAACAGGAUUUGAUACCCUGGGAGUCCACGCUGUAAACGAUGAAUACUAGGUGUAGGGGGUAUCGACUCCCUCUGUGCCGCAGUGAACACAAUAAGUAUUCCGCCUGGGGAGUACGGCCGCAAGGUUGAAACUUAAAGGAAUUGACGGGG
Molecule: ribosomal RNA, 397 nt
Filed under: uncultured bacterium
Lineage: Bacteria
Description: partial 16S ribosomal RNA
Rfam family: Bacterial small subunit ribosomal RNA
Source: RNAcentral